GACGAACGCUGGCGGCGUGCCUAAUACAUGCAAGUAGAACGCUGAAGGAGGAGCUUGCUCUUCUGGAUGAGUUGCGAACGGGUGAGUAACGCGUAGGUAACCUGCCUGGUAGCGGGGGAUAACUAUUGGAAACGAUAGCUAAUACCGCAUAAGAGUAGAUAUCGCAUGAUAGCUGCUUGAAAGGUGCAAUUGCACCACUACCAGAUGGACCUGCGUUGUAUUAGCUAGUUGGUGAGGUAACGGCUCGCCAAGGCAACGAUACAUAGCCGACCUGAGAGGGUGAUCGGCCACACUGGGACUGAGACACGGCCCAGACUCCUACGGGAGGCGGCAGUAGGGAAUCUUCGGCAAUGGACGAAAGUCUGACCGAGCAACGCCGCGUGAGUGAAGAAGGUUUUCGGAUCGUAAAGCUCUGUUGUAAGAGAAGAACGAGUGUGAGAGUGGAAAGUUCACACUGUGACGGUAU
RNAcentral lists this ribosomal RNA (466 nucleotides) under Streptococcus infantis. RNAcentral's name for it is "bacterial SSU rRNA". It matches the Rfam family "Bacterial small subunit ribosomal RNA", at positions 28 to 478 of the family's 1533-position model. The record is from RNAcentral. Lineage: Bacteria; Bacillati; Bacillota; Bacilli; Lactobacillales; Streptococcaceae.